This 482-nucleotide ribosomal RNA is filed under the name uncultured bacterium. RNAcentral's name for it is "partial 16S ribosomal RNA". It matches the Rfam family "Bacterial small subunit ribosomal RNA", at positions 30 to 507 of the family's 1533-position model. The record is from RNAcentral.
AUUGAACGCUGGCGGCAUGCCUAACACAUGCAAGUCGAACGGUAACGGGCCUUCGGGUGCCGACGAGUGGCGCACGGGUGCGUAAUACAUCGGAACGUGCCCGAUCGUGGGUUUUAACGGGGCGAAAGCUUGGCUAAUACCCCAUACGAUCUAAGACUGAAUGCGGGGGACCGCAAGGCCUCGUCCGGACGGGCCGGCCGGUGGCAGAUUAGGUAGUUGGUGGGCUAAAGGCUUACCAAGGCGACGAUCGGUAGCUGGUCUGAGAGGAUGAUCAGCCACACUGGGACUGAGACACGGCCCAGACUCCUACGGGAGGCAGCAGUGGGGAAUUUUGGACAAUGGGCGCAAGCCUGAUCCAGCCAUGCCGCGUGCAGGAUGAAGGCCUUCGGGUUGUAAAGUGCUUUUGUUGGGAAAGAAAAGCAUUCUUUUAAUACAGGAGGGUCAUGACGGUACCGUAAGAAUAAGCACCGGCUAACUACGUG